GUUUAAUAGAGUUUUCAUCUAGUUAUUUCUCCAAGCUUCUUCCGAGAUACUAGUUAUGAUGGAUCUAACUAGUUCAGCUGGUGAUUAGAUGAUUUUCUAGUGUCUCUAUACAUUUAUGAUGUUUAAAGUGUGAAAUCAGCAGCUCAUUCCUCUCCGCUAAUUACAGAAAAGGGAAAAAAAUAUUUCUAUGUUUGGAAACAGCAGUGUCUUUCUGUUUUCAAUUUCUUUGGAACGAAAAGGAGAUAUUUUAUUAAGUCUGUUUCUACAGCUGGAUUAUGCAAUCUAUUUUUAGGACUAUUUUUGAGAAAGCAAAUCUGUUUAAAUUGCUGUUAUUUUCUCUGAUUUAUGGUCUGGAGUGAAACCGAGUGACGCCAUCUUUUAUCAUGCAUUUAUCAUACCUUGGAGACUUUUAAUUUGUAUUUAUAGAAAUUAUUUAAAAUGGAGUAUAAGCAUAAAUCUAUAU
Molecule: long non-coding RNA, 463 nt
Organism: Carassius carassius (crucian carp)
Lineage: Eukaryota; Metazoa; Chordata; Actinopteri; Cypriniformes; Cyprinidae
Exons: 2
Source: RefSeq, a predicted model, not a curated record